UCACCUUCCCAAUGCUGAUGUCGUCCGCUCCCCAGCCUACAGGAAGCGCUAUUGAAUUGCGACUCAGUCCGGGCGACUUUCCAUGCUGAUCCAUAGAGACCGUUUUCAUAUAUUUCUACACACAUCUCCAAGCUACAUUUGAGGAGAACAUACAGAUGGUCAUAUUAUUUUGUUCAACUAUGAUACAAGAUAGGGAGAUGAUGUGGGUUGCCAUUUUGGAACCAGAGCCUAAGCAAGAGCAUUGCAAGGCGAUAUGGGAGCUCAGAAAGUCGCCAUAAAACUACCGUUUAAGACCAGGUUGAAAGUUUGUUUGUGUUUACUGCAACUCGCAUGAUGCAGCGUGGCGGUGGCGCGGAGGACCAAGCGGGAAGUGAACCAUCAGCCUUUGAGUUACCUGUCACCCUUGGCAUCAAGAAGAUGACACCCAAGCCGUCUUACACCACAGAUAUUGGCGGUUGGUCCAGCAGGUGAAAGUUAGACAAAGAGGCAGCCAAAGAUGCACACCACCGCCACUUCCUCGCCCGCGGUUCUGUCCGCCGCCUCUGCGGCCACGGCGACGACGUCAUCCUUCUCACCCACCACCGCAGCAUCCUAGCGCUCGCACGUAGCCUUGGCGCGUCGCGGCUCCGUCGGAAUCCACCCCGUCCUGCGUAUCCACCACGCACCCGCCCUCCAGGUCACCUAGGACGACUCCUCCGCGUACGCCCUGGCCCUCAUGAAGUUACGUACGGCCAUGGCUCUGAUUCAAUUUCGGGUUGGAUGAUUUGAUCUGGUUGUAGGGGGCGGAUGCCUGAUUUUGAGCGGUCUCUGCAGCAUCUGAUCUGAUAGGGGUGGACCUCGGCAUGGAGGUGGUCGCCGAGGUUGCUGGGCAUUUCCGGCCAGCAGGCGCAGCUGCGGGAACAAGGUACACAGAUUUAGCUAGGCCCUUUCACCCGAGGGUCUGACGACACAACCUUCGCGGACGACCAAUAGGUAGCUACUGUUUGUGAGUAACUUUUUUUUCUUUUAUAAACUGCAUGGUUCUUGUGAAAAAAUAUGUUCAAAUUGUGGAUGGUUGUCUGUAGCAGAGCAUAGCACAUGCACAUAAGUAAAGCCCAAUAGGAUAGAUAUAUAACUACUAUACUAAACGUGAACAGCUUCGAUUUUUCUCAUAAUUUUGAGUUUAUUUUCUAGGUACCUGUUUUACUCACACGUGUAAUCCUGCUUAAUUUGCCUGUCCAUAUUUCUUCUUUGUGUACUUCUUGGGGCUCUACAGCGAUUUGGAAAAGUUUGGUUCGUGUGCUCCCGAAGUUGGGAUUCACUGAUGGGCUGCCUUGGUGCUUUUCUGGUGUGGCCGUAGUCAUGACCUGGUUAGGACAGCGGUGGCUAUCAUUACUAUGGGCCAUGAUAGAUCAUCAUACACCGCUUUGACUGAUGUGUGGAAACCUCUCGGCGACUCGCCUCCUUCUUCUCCUAACUCAGCUGCCAAAAAUUUCUAGAGGGCUCGAGUUCUCCCCCUGCGUCCUCUCUCGCGCUCCGCGUCGUAGCGUGUUGGGCGCGUGGGCUCACGCUCAGCAAUUUGGUGGCGGUGCCGCCGGCAAACGGUGCGGCGACAGCAGUGUCGUGGCGGUGGCGGACGGGGCACAUGGCGGCGCGGCGCUACAGAGCGACAGAGAGGGGAGGAAAGGGCUCCAGGAGAACCAGAAGCUCACGACGAGCGUGUCGGGGAGGUGGCGAGGCGGGGGGUGGUCGGAAGCUGCGGAAGACCGGAUCAAUUCUGGCAAUACGGGCUUUCCGGAUUGCUAUGCUUGGCGGAGAGGAUGCGGACGAGGUGGUGGUGCUUCCAAGCGGCCCAGUACAGCUCGAGGAGCCCGGCUGCCACGACGAUUUGCAGGCGGGGGAAGCCAGGAGACGGUCGAGGAUUUGAUGUGUGGGUAUGCCCUCCUCCAACUUUGCUCCCGCUUUUAGAAACAAUACUCCCUCAUGGCCGGCGAGGUCGUCGUGGUGCCGCCCCGUCGCCGCUGCACCAACCGGUUAUUAGGUGACAGACCCGAGUCGCCGGGAUGCGCCUCCGCGGUCCGUGGUCGUCCAAGCAGAGGGACGCGGAGAGAGGGGCGGAGAGGGACGCGGAGGGAUGGCGGAUAGGGAUGAGGAGGGAGGGCGGAGAGGGAUGCUGGGGCUUCGUCGCCGGGGCCGGUCGUCGCCUUCGCCGCCAUGUUCGUAUGGUACGGGAGAGACAAAGACGCACUUCGAUGGGUCGCCCCCUUCCUCUUGUUCCUAGCCUUUUUUCUUUGCGAUUCUCUUUCCUUGCCACACCGGUUACGAUUCUGUCUUACCUAGAAAUAUUCUCCAUAUAUUGCCUGCGACCGGCGGUUUGUCCCACGGGCCAUGCUAAUCCUGGUUUCCUGUCAGGUCUUGCUCCUCUUUCUCAUCUUUCUUUGAUUUUACCGCACUUGCAUCUCUAUGAUGAUUGACGUAUGUUAGUUCUGGUUCGUUUGACCAUUGGUGCUUGGACAAUUUACUAGGAAAUGCAUUUUAUUUGUAGGAUUCGAUUUUUUUAUUUUGUAGUGGCCAUGCUGUUGCAUUUAUUAUCUGUAAACGGCUGUUCCAACUUUGGUGCUUCAAUUGAUUAGGAGGUCAUCCCAUAUAGUUUAGUGGUGUUGGAGGAGCAUUUUUCUAUAUGAAACUACAUCUGUUGAUUCACAAUUACUCAGUUGAUUCUGAAUUCUACACCAGACUGGAAACUAUAAUCAUUUUUUGUGCCUUUUUAAAACCAUGCUUAGACCUUGACCUGGAAGUACAAAGAUUGAACACCACGGUGAACCAUUGAGAAACAGGAACCGCCUCCGCCUACUUCUCUUCCACUCUGGUUCGCCAUGUUGCUUCGCCCAGCUCUGACAGACUCCCUCUGUUGUGGUCUGGAAGACUGGAAGCAUGAAACUGGGGGCGGUCUGUACUUUGGUGCCGGAUGCUACCAAAGCUAAUUUGAUCUGGUUGAUGUUUUGGAUUUGGUAUAUUUCUUGUUCUUGCUCGCAGGUUGUAUAGACCGGGAGCCCCUCGCCACCCCUCAUUGCUCCUGUCGGCACAUACAUGGGAGGAGACGAAGGAAGAACUGGUGAGAUGAUCUCAUGGCAGGCGUAAGGUCAUGGGCUUUCUAUCUCUGCUUUGGGAGUUUUUGAUUUUUAGUGAGAUUCUUGGGUACACGCAACUGAUGGCACCGGGCUAAGAACAGUAUGGUGAUUUCAUAUGCCCACAUGGUGCUCACUGAAAUGCCUGCAAUAUUGAGUGAGUUCCUCCGCCAAUGAUUACUUAAGCAUGUCGAUUGUGAUCUCCUUCCAUGUGGCAGUAGCUCAGGGGUGGCUGCAUAUGUGCAUCUUUACUUUCUUUUUGGGGCACGCAUGAUGAAUUUGAUAUGUAGUUGUUCUUUUUUAGGCCAAUGAAGAAUGCACUAUGUCAUCUUUCAGGUUUCCUGGGUAGGUAAAGAUCAUCGAGUGUAAAUGGCGUAGUAUAAAUUAUGUGGGCCUAUGUUUUUGUCUGAUGGUCGUCAGCCUACCAUGUGUACAUUUAAAUUACUCACAUAACUUAUAUGUAGAUACUGACCCUUUCAUCAGUGAUUUGUGCGGUUAUUUGAUUUACCUAUUUAUCUCGACUUCAGUUUCAGUGAUGAAUUUAUAUUUAUUUUCUAGGAAAAUGAUGAGUUCUUACUUGAGUUGAAGGUAUCUCUGUAAGCUUUCAUAUGUUGCCGGGAUGUGUCAUUGUGUAUUAUCCUAUUUGAGAUAAAUAGAUUCAAAGUUUUCAUGUCCAGUGCACUUCUGUUAAGAAUCUGUCCAGAAUAUACUGAAGUUUUUUCAUAGUAUACAUAGUCUUUACAUUAAUUCAAUAUGGCUGAGAUAAGGUUACUGUACAGAAAAAGAAUCAAUACCAUGAUAAGUGAGUUUUACGUGAACAGUGUGUUAUCAUAGCCUUCUAAGAAAUACUUUAUAAAGCUUUAUUUCGAGGGUCCAGUCGUCAAUCAAAGCUAAAUAAAGAAUUAGAAGCCUGGUACUUGGCAUUAAGAAUACUAUGUUUGCUUUGAAAUUUAAAUCUAGGAUAAAAUUUUCUCUUGAUAGCUACUGUAUAUUUUUUCCUCCUUACCUUUACAAUUGCGCCAAAAAAAAUUGUGUAGAGUGAGCUGAGUACUCACACAAAGAUUUCUUUGGUUGGUCAUGAUGGCUUUGCCAUGCUGCAGUAGCGGUAUUUCAUUGAUUCUUGGACUCCUGAUGUGGUCAUGCAUACAAUACUCCAGCAAAAGAAAAUUUCCGCGAUUCAAAGCUAUCCAGAGGUGUUUCACUAGGAUAAUCGACCUUCCAAAUUAGCUGUUAAUUAUUUCUCACAUUCGACGUGUGUAUGAGAUAUCAGGAGUACAUUAUUGAAAGUUCAGCGAAUCUGAACUCUUUUUUGUGAAAAUAUGAACUCUUUCCUGUCACUAUAUAGAUGCAUGAAAGAAGGUGCAGCAGGUAAAUGCAUCACUGGAUUAGCUGUUCGGUUGACUGCUUUUUUUCCUUUUGCUCAUACACCAGUCUUCUUCAGUUCAGCUAAUAUAAGGUUUUUAUUUUGCGAUGUCAGUGAUGGGAGUUUGUAGUUUCUGGUGCAUACUCCUGAGUUUAUGAUUUAUUUAACCAUAUUUUUUUUGAAAGAAAUUUCUGUGACCAGAUGGUAUAUAACAAUUCCUGUUCUUGGUCUUGCUGCUAUCAGAGAAAGGUAAGAAUUUGACAACUAGGUUUACUAAUCGAUUUGAUGCAGUGGAUGAUACACGAGCUUAAAAGUUCUUGGGUCAAAUCUAUAUUUUGAUCUAAGUUUCGUUUGCAUUUUAGUUUGUCUUCCUUUCUCAAGUUUCCUUGCAAGUACUUGGUCACCAGGUACUAUCUCUAUUGCUAUUUGUAAUCUUUGAUGAAAUAACCAGGGAUGCUAAAAUGUUUGUCCUGAACAUAAGGCUUGCAUUACUGGUUGUAUCCAGAAAUAAAGGAGUUCUCCCACAUACCAGUUUAUGUCCAGGGUCUUUCGUUGUCCAUAGCAUGAUUAAUAUGUUAGUGUUCUCAAAAUAUAGUCAAGCGUAUGUGGUGGGUGGUCCACUACGAACAUAGCUGCUAUUGCGUCUCACAAUCGUGGUGGGCGGUCUAGCCCUUCCGGUAGUGCUGUGUUUGUGGCACAGGUUGUGAGCAGAGUCGGGGCCGCGCUCUGUUCAGUUUUCUCUUCCUCCUGUUCCACCUGCGAUCCAGGCGCCUUUGCAUACACAUGUCUCCUUGCCACCGGCGGCUGCCGCGCCACAGCUGCUGUCAUGGACUAAGGUGUGGUUCUCCAACUCCAGCCCAUACAAGUUGUCACUUAGAGCAGGGGAAAUGGGGGUCAAAGACAGAAAUUUCAAUUGUGAUCUUGUGCUUGGAGGAAGCCUAUAUUCAGAUUUAGGUGAAUGCAAAAUCCUGUAGUUGCUUGCUUUCUGAAGGUGGCAUCCUUGCAACAUAUGUCGGUAUGAGUUGAAAUGUUAUCAUUGUACAUGGCCAGGUUUGGGAGAUUAUUUGUUGACUUUGUAAUAUAAUGAGAGAUCAUGUUGAUAGUGUGAUGAAGCGCUGGUUCAGGCAAAGGGAUGAUAGUGUGCACUUAGGUUUCUUAUUAUUAGAUCCAUUUCUUGCUUUCUAGAUGUACAAUGGAACUUCUGUGUUGUAUGUUUUUGGCCCACACCUCAUUGUGUUGUUGCUCCUUGGAUUAUGCAUUGCCAAUAUUUCUAUUUCUUCAUUUUCAUGAUUCAUACAUGUAAACAUGAUGCUGGUUGGCUAUAGUUUCGACUCUUUUUAUUGGUUGGUUGGUUUCGUUC
Lolium perenne is the source of this 5830-nucleotide long non-coding RNA. RefSeq lists it as uncharacterized. The record is from RefSeq and is a predicted model, not a curated record. NCBI's taxonomy places the organism in Eukaryota, Viridiplantae, Streptophyta, Magnoliopsida, Poales, Poaceae.